GACGAAGGGGGCUAGCGUUGUUCGGAAUUACUGGGCGUAAAGCGAGUGUAGGUGGUUGUCAUAGUCAGGCGUGAAAGCCUUGAGCUCAACUCAAGAAAUGCGCUUGAUACUGGGCAGCUAGAGGACCGGAGAGGAUAGUGGAAUUCCAGGUGUAGCGGUGAAAUGCGUAGAUAUCUGGAGGAACACCGGUGGCGAAGGCGACGUCCUGGACCGGCAUUGACGCUGAGGCGCGAAAGCCAGGGGAGCAAACGGG
This 253-nucleotide ribosomal RNA is filed under the name uncultured bacterium. Its description in RNAcentral is "partial 16S ribosomal RNA". It matches the Rfam family "Bacterial small subunit ribosomal RNA", at positions 524 to 776 of the family's 1533-position model. The record is from RNAcentral.